UACCAGCACCCCGAGUGGUCGGGACGUUUAUUGGGCCUAAAGCAUCCGUAGCCGGUUCUACAAGUCUUCCGUUAAAUCCAGCUGCUUAGCAGAUGGGCUGCGGAAGAUACUAUGGAGCUAGGAGGCGGGAGAGGCAAGCGGUACUCGAUGGGUAGGGGUAAAAUCCGUUGAUCCAUUGAAGACCACCAGUGGCGAAGGCGGCUUGCCAGAACGCGCUCGACGGUGAGGGAUGAAAGCUGGGGGAGCAAACCGG
This 253-nucleotide ribosomal RNA is filed under the name uncultured bacterium. RNAcentral describes it as "partial 16S ribosomal RNA". It matches the Rfam family "Archaeal small subunit ribosomal RNA", at positions 474 to 727 of the family's 1478-position model. The record is from RNAcentral.